GAUGAACGCUGGCGGCGUGCUUAACACAUGCAAGUCGAACGGAAAGGCCCUGCUUUUGUGGGGUGCUCGAGUGGCGAACGGGUGAGUAACACGUGAGUAACCUGCCCUUGACUUUGGGAUAACUUCAGGAAACUGGGGCUAAUACCGGAUAGGAGCUCCUGCUGCAUGGUGGGGGUUGGAAAGUUUCGGCGGUUGGGGAUGGACUCGCGGCUUAUCGGCUUGUUGGUGGGGUAGUGGCUUACCAAGGCUUUGACGGGUAGCCGGCCUGAGAGGGGGACCGGCGACCUUGGGACUGAGAGACGGCCCAGACUCCUACGGGAGGCAGCAGGGGGGAAUAUUGCACAGUGGGCGGAAGCCUGAUGCAGCAACGCCGCGUGCGGGAUGACGGCCUUCGGGUUGUAAACCGCUUUCGCCUGUGACGAAGCGUGAGUGACGGUAAUGGGUAAAGAAGCACCGGCUAACUACGUG
RNAcentral lists this ribosomal RNA (468 nucleotides) under uncultured bacterium. RNAcentral describes it as "partial 16S ribosomal RNA". It matches the Rfam family "Bacterial small subunit ribosomal RNA", at positions 28 to 507 of the family's 1533-position model. The record is from RNAcentral.